GACGAACGCUGGCGGCGUGCUUAACACAUGCAAGUCGAACGGAAAGGCCCUGCUUUUGUGGGGUGCUCGAGUGGCGAACGGGUGAGUAACACGUGAGUAACCUGCCCUUGACUUUGGGAUAACUUCAGGAAACUGGGGCUAAUACCGGAUAGGAGCUCCUGCUGCAUGGUGGGGUUGGAAAGUUUCGGCGGUUGGGGAUGGACUCGCGGCUUAUCAGCUUGUUGGUGGGGUAGUGGCUUACCACGGCUUUGCCGGGUAGCCGGCCUGAGAGGGUGACCGGCCACAUUGGGACUGAGAUACGGCCCAGACUCCUACGGGAGGCAGCAGUGGGGAAUAUUGCACAAUGGGCGGAAGCCUGAUGCAGCAACGCCGCGUGCGGGAUGACGGCCUUCGGGUUGUAAACCGCUUUCGCCUGUGACGAAGCGUGAGUGACGGUAAUGGGUAAAGAAGCACCGGCUAACUACGUG
This 467-nucleotide ribosomal RNA is filed under the name uncultured bacterium. RNAcentral describes it as "partial 16S ribosomal RNA". It matches the Rfam family "Bacterial small subunit ribosomal RNA", at positions 28 to 507 of the family's 1533-position model. The record is from RNAcentral.